Molecule: ribosomal RNA, 250 nt
Filed under: uncultured bacterium
Lineage: Bacteria
Description: partial 16S ribosomal RNA
Rfam family: Bacterial small subunit ribosomal RNA
Source: RNAcentral
CCUUGAUGGCGACCGGCGCACGGGUGAGUAACGCGUAUGCAACCUGCCCGAUACCGGGGUAUAGCCCAUGGAAACGUGGAUUAACACCCCAUAGUACUUUUAUCCUGCCUGGGAUGGGAGUUAAAUGUUCAAGGUAUCGGAUGGGCAUGCGUCCUAUUAGUUAGUUGGCGGGGUAACAGCCCACCAAGACGAUGAUAGGUAGGGGUUCUGAGAGGAAGGCCCCCCACAUUGGAACUGAGACACGGUCCAA